GCUCAGGAUGAACGCUGGCGGCGUGCCUAAUACAUGCAAGUCGAACGAAUCUCUUUUAGAGAUGAGUGGCGAACGGGUGAGUAAUACAUAGGUAACCUGCCCCUGUGCGGGGGAUAACAGGAGGAAACUCCUGCUAAUACCGCAUAGCCAUGAGCACCGCAUGGAGCUCAUGCCAAAUAUCCUUUAUGGGAUAGCGCAGGGAUGGACCUAUGGCGCAUUAGCUGGUUGGCGGGGCAACGGCCCACCAAGGCAACGAUGCGUAGCCGGCCUGAGAGGGCGGACGGCCACAUUGGGACUGAGACACGGCCCAGACUCCUACGGGAGGCAGCAGUAGGGAAUUUUCGGCAAUGGGGGAAACCCUGACCGAGCAACGCCGCGUGAGCGAAGAAGGCCUUCGGGUCGUAAAGCUCUGUUGUAAAGGAAGAACGGCGCAUACAGGAAAUGGUAUGCGAGUGACGGUACUUUACCAGAAAGCCACGGCUAACUACGUGCCAGCAGCCGCGGUAAUACGUAGGUGGCGAGCGUUAUCCGGAAUCAUUGGGCGUAAAGAGGGAGCAGGCGGCCGCAAGGGUCUGUGGUGAAAGACCGAAGCUAAACUUCGGUAAGCCAUGGAAACCGGGCGGCUAGAGUGCGGAAGAGGAUCGUGGAAUUCCAUGUGUAGCGGUGAAAUGCGUAGAUAUAUGGAGGAACACCAGUGGCGAAGGCGACGGUCUGGGCCGCAACUGACGCUCAUUCCCGAAAGCGUGGGGAGCAAAUAGGAUUAGAUACCCUAGUAGUCCACGCCGUAAACGAUGGUCACUAAGUGUCGGGGGUCAAACCCCGGUGCUGCAGUCAACGCAAUAAGUGACCCGCCUGAGUAGUACGUUCGCAAGAAUGAAACUCAAAGGAAUUGACGGAAG
RNAcentral lists this ribosomal RNA (899 nucleotides) under uncultured bacterium. RNAcentral describes it as "bacterial SSU rRNA". It matches the Rfam family "Bacterial small subunit ribosomal RNA", at positions 22 to 919 of the family's 1533-position model. The record is from RNAcentral.